Molecule: ribosomal RNA, 493 nt
Filed under: uncultured bacterium
Lineage: Bacteria
Description: partial 16S ribosomal RNA
Rfam family: Bacterial small subunit ribosomal RNA
Source: RNAcentral
AUUGAACGCUGGCGGCAUGCUUUACACAUGCAAGUCGAACGGUAACAGGUUAAGCUGACGAGUGGCGAACGGGUGAGUAAUGCAUCGGAACGUGCCCGAUCGUGGGGGAUAACGCAGCGAAAGCUGUGCUAAUACCGCAUACGAUCUGAGGAUGAAAGCGGGGGACCGUAAGGCCUCGCGCGAUCGGAGCGGCCGAUGUCAGAUUAGGUAGUUGGUGGGGUAAAGGCCCACCAAGCCGACGAUCUGUAGCUGGUCUGAGAGGACGACCAGCCACACUGGGACUGAGACACGGCCCAGACUCCUACGGGAGGCAGCAGUGGGGAAUUUUGGACAAUGGGCGAAAGCCUGAUCCAGCAAUGCCGCGUGCAGGAAGAAGGCCUUCGGGUUGUAAACUGCUUUUGUACGGAGCGAAAAGGUCCUUUCUAAUACAAGGGGCUCAUGACGGUACCGUAAGAAUAAGCACCGGCUAACUACGUGCCAGCAGCCGCCGUAA